GACGAACGCUGGCGGCGUGCCUAAUACAUGCAAGUAGAACGCUGAAGGAGUAGCUUGCUUCUCUGGAUGAGUUGCGAACGGGUGAGUAACGCGUAGGUAACCUGCCCGGUAGUGGGGGAUAACUAUAGGAAACGAUAGCUAAUACCGCAUAAGAGUAGAUGUUGCAUGACAUUUGCUUGAAAGUUGCAAUUGCAUCACUAGCAGAUGCAGCUGCGUUGUGUUAGGUUGUUGGUGGGGUAACCGCGCACCAAGGCGGCGAUACAUAGCCGAACUGAGAGGGUGAUUGGCCACACUGGGACUGAGACACGGCCCAGACUCCUUCGGGAAGGAGCAGGAGGGAAUCUUGGGCAAGAGGCGGAAGUCUGACCGAACAACGCCGCGGGAGGGAAGAAGGUCUUCGGGUCGUAAAGGUCUGUUGUAAGGGAAGAAAGAGUGUUAGAGUGGAAAGUUGCGGCUGUGACGGUAUCUUAACAGAAAGCAACGGCUAACUACGUG
RNAcentral lists this ribosomal RNA (495 nucleotides) under uncultured bacterium. Its description in RNAcentral is "partial 16S ribosomal RNA". It matches the Rfam family "Bacterial small subunit ribosomal RNA", at positions 28 to 507 of the family's 1533-position model. The record is from RNAcentral.